Molecule: ribosomal RNA, 552 nt
Filed under: uncultured Veillonella sp.
Lineage: Bacteria; Bacillati; Bacillota; Negativicutes; Veillonellales; Veillonellaceae
Description: bacterial SSU rRNA
Rfam family: Bacterial small subunit ribosomal RNA
Source: RNAcentral
AACGCUGGCGGCGUGCUUAACACAUGCAAGUCGAACGAAGAGCGAUGGAAGCUUGCUUCUAUCAAUCUUAGUGGCGAACGGGUGAGUAACGCGUAAUCAACCUGCCCUUCAGAGGGGGACAACAGUUGGAAACGACUGCUAAUACCGCAUACGAUCCAACCUCGGCAUCGAGGAUGGAUGAAAGGUGGCCUCUAUUUAUAAGCUAUCACUGAAGGAGGGGAUUGCGUCUGAUUAGCUAGUUGGAGGGGUAACGGCCCACCAAGGCAAUGAUCAGUAGCCGGUCUGAGAGGAUGAACGGCCACAUUGGGACUGAGACACGGCCCAGACUCCUACGGGAGGCAGCAGUGGGGAAUCUUCCGCAAUGGACGAAAGUCUGACGGAGCAACGCCGCGUGAGUGAUGACGGCCUUCGGGUUGUAAAGCUCUGUUAAUCGGGACGAAAGGUCCUCUUGCGAAUAGUUAGAGGAAUUGACGGUACCGGAAUAGAAAGCCACGGCUAACUACGUGCCAGCAGCCGCGGUAAUACGUAGGUGGCAAGCGUUGUCCGGAAUUA